CCUACGGGAGGCUGCAGUGAGGAAUAUUGGUCAAUGGACGAGAGUCUGAACCAGCCAAGUAGCGUGAAGGAUGACUGCCCUAUGGGUUGUAAACUUCUUUUAUAUGGGAAUAAAACGUUCCACGUGUGGGAUUUUGUAUGUACCAUAUGAAUAAGGAUCGGCUAACUCCGUGCCAGCAGCCGCGGUAAUACGGAGGAUCCGAGCGUUAUCCGGAUUUAUUGGGUUUAAAGGGAGCGUAGGUGGAUUGUUAAGUCAGUUGUGAAAGUUUGCGGCUCAACCGUAAAAUUGCAGUUGAAACUGGCAGUCUUGAGUACAGUAGAGGUGGGCGGAAUUCGUGGUGUAGCGGUGAAAUGCUUAGAUAUCACGAAGAACUCCGAUUGCGAAGGCAGUUCACUGGACUGCAACUGACACUGAGGCUCGAAAGUGUGGGUAUCAAACAGGAUUAGAUACCCCAGUAGUG
Molecule: ribosomal RNA, 460 nt
Filed under: uncultured bacterium
Lineage: Bacteria
Description: partial 16S ribosomal RNA
Rfam family: Bacterial small subunit ribosomal RNA
Source: RNAcentral